RNAcentral lists this long non-coding RNA (231 nucleotides) under Elaeis guineensis (African oil palm). RNAcentral describes it as "long non-coding RNA (EGUI_LNC018777)". The record is from RNAcentral. Lineage: Eukaryota; Viridiplantae; Streptophyta; Magnoliopsida; Arecales; Arecaceae.
GGAUAGUUCGGUAGGCCCAAAGUACAUGAUGCAGUUCAUCCAUCCAUGACCCUUUGGCCUAAUCUAAUCUGGCUUUUAAUCUCUAUAAAAGGAUAUAGUUAGUUACCUCAGCUUCUCCAUUGGCCUGUGAAUGUCCUACCGAUAUAAGAUGAUGGGAGAUGCUGAGGCUUUGACAGAAUUCGAUAAAUUCGAAAUCAGAGAACUGGCGAUCAUUAUCUGUGAUCAGCACCC